This 810-nucleotide ribosomal RNA is filed under the name uncultured bacterium. Its description in RNAcentral is "bacterial SSU rRNA". It matches the Rfam family "Bacterial small subunit ribosomal RNA", at positions 644 to 1455 of the family's 1533-position model. The record is from RNAcentral.
GAGUGUGUCAGAGGGAGGUAGAAUUCCACGUGUANCAGUGAAAUGCGUAGAGAUGUGGAGGAAUACCGAUGGCGAAGGCAGCCUCCUGGGAUAACANUGACGUUCAUGCCCGAAAGCGUGGGUAGCAAACAGGAUUAGAUACCCUGGUAGUCCACGCCCUAAACGAUGUCGAUUAGCUGUUGGGCAGCANGACUGCUUAGUAGCGAAGCUAACGCGUGAAAUCGACCGCCUGGGGAGUACGGUCGCAAGAUUAAAACUCAAAGGAAUUGACGGGGACCCGCACAAGCGGUGGAUGAUGUGGAUUAAUUCGAUGCAACGCGAAGAACCUUACCUGGUCUUGACAUGUACGGAACCCUCCAGAGACGGAGGGGUGCCUUCGGGAGCCGUAACACAGGUGCUGCAUGGCUGUCGUCAGCUCGUGUCGUGAGAUGUUGGGUUAAGUCCCGCAACGAGCGCAACCCUUGUCAUUAGUUGCCAUCAUUAAGUUGGGCACUCUAAUGAGACUGCCGGUGACAAGCCGGAGGAAGGUGGGGAUGACGUCAAGUCCUCAUGGCCCUUAUGACCAGGGCUUCACACGUCAUACAAUGGUCGGUACAGAGGGUAGCCAAGCCGCGAGGUGGAGCCAAUCUCACAAAACCGAUCGUAGUCCGGAUUGCACUCUGCAACUCGAGUGCAUGAAGUCGGAAUCGCUAGUAAUCGCAGGUCAGCAUACUGCGGUGAAUACGUUCCCGGGUCUUGUACACACCGCCCGUCACACCAUGGGAGUGGGGGAUACCAGAAGUAGGUANGGUAACCGCAAGGAGCCCGCUU